UUCGCCAUGCUUUAGUUAUUUACGUUUAUCACUUUACCGUCGAAAAUCUUUCCGUUUGUAAUCGACUUAGCCCUUGGGGUGUUUAAUUUUAAUAUAAGCAUUUGGUGUUAAAAAAAAAAUUAUAUUUUUGAGUUCCGCGUCGCAAAAUCUUGCAAAAUGCUAUAUAGCGUUGAUUUAAAGUUACGAUAGAGUAAAACAUCCCAACUGGCUACUUUUAAUAGCAUUUUGUGAAUUCGUGCUACCGUGAUAUGCUACCAAUAUCCAAAUUUCUUGCAGUCUACAUUUGCUUUUCUGAGAGUUUUUUUAUUGUUUUGUGUUGUAUGUAAGCUUGUGACAUACCUAAGGAGGGCCCAUCAAGGAUAUCUCUCAGCUGUCCUAUCAGCCGCAAGCGUAUCAUACUUCCUGUGAAGGGUCAUGGCUGCAAGCAUCUUCAGUGUUUUGAUUACCGGAACUAUAUCAAACUAAAUACGAGGAUACCGUCAUGGUGCUGUCCACUUUGCUAUCAGUAUGUCUGCUAUACUGACAUCCGUUUAGAUCAAACCAUGAUAAAGGCAAAUAUAUUCUAGAAGAGGUGGGAAGUAAUGUGACAGACGUGGCUAUCUCUCCUGAUGGAUCAUGGAAAGUUGUAACAGAGAACGAUGAGAAUGUUGAGAACUUGAGUCCAGCUGUUUUGGAUCUUGCAAGAGAUGAGAAUGAAAUGGAAGCAUCCGGAAACACUCAGAUUCCUAUGGUUAACCAGUCUUCUUCUGAUUCAAUGGAGGUACUGCCACAGUUGCCACAAACUUUUAAUAAUGAUGGGCAGCAGCAACAGUUCAUGAAUUUUCCAGUGUGUCAUCAGCAAGAGAAGUCAUACACAUGCCUGGUGCUCACUCUUCUCAAUAUCAAGGGUUACAUGUUUCUUCCCUUGGACUUUCUCUUGGAAGAGACUCUGAUUUGAUGGAGAGGUGGAACCACCACAACUAUGGAAAUUGCAUACCUCAAACUCAGUUUCAUCUUCCCACAAGGAGCUUGUCCCCUGUGCAGGGAAGACCAAUCCCAUCUUCCAUUACAUCUCCCCAAACUUUAGCUUUCAGCUAUGGAAGGAACUCCGACCAGAGACACAUGCAAAGACAUAAUCCUGGUGGGGCUGGGUAACAGUUGUCAUCGCGUGAGUUCAUGAACAUGACUCCUGAUAACUCUGCAAACAUGCGAUGCGCCCACAGAUUCGGAUGAUGCGAGGCAGCAUAACGCCCGGUUCCACAAGGUAUGACCACCUGAUCAUUCAACCUACCCAGCGGCCGGUACAGUCACAAUCACAAGCUCAAACAGUUCCUCCACCUCAGCCAACAGCUUACGAUUACGUCCCGGUUCAGUCACAAGCUCAAACGUUUUUGGCGAACCCAAGCUAUCCUGUUGGUACUAAUGAAACGCAAGCUGGGAGCAGUUUAUUGCCCUUGGAGGAAGGUGUUCUUUUGGGCUGAUAUCCAAGAGGUUUGUGUUCAGGUACGUUUACAGGAAGGUGUUCUUUUGGGCUGAUAUACACCUAAUUUAAGCAUAACUUAAAAAGACUAGACAUAAUGAUUGAGUUUGUCUAAUGCAGUGGGCCAAGGAAGUCCAUAUCUCAAUAUUCAUAUGAGGUCGCAGUUCUUUUCCUAUCAUGUUUAUCAAAAAUCUCAAUAUCAUGCAAUUAAAAUCAAAUUAAAAGUUAAAAUGAUAAAGAGUUUGUAACAGUUGUCAAAGUGUCUAUUUUUGUAAAAUUAAAGUCUAAAAGUACGUCUAACCAC
Molecule: long non-coding RNA, 1763 nt
Organism: Brassica oleracea var. oleracea
Lineage: Eukaryota; Viridiplantae; Streptophyta; Magnoliopsida; Brassicales; Brassicaceae
Exons: 4
Source: RefSeq, a predicted model, not a curated record